Molecule: long non-coding RNA, 1189 nt
Filed under: Vulpes vulpes (red fox)
Lineage: Eukaryota; Metazoa; Chordata; Mammalia; Carnivora; Canidae
Description: lncRNA (ENSVVUG00000001656.1)
Source: RNAcentral
GGAUGCUGGCUACUGUGGUAAUGGGCUGACAUUUGCAGGAACUCUGGAAAUUAUUUCUGUGCCCUGGAAGGACCAGUACCAGAGCUCUGCCUCCCAGGAGUCCUGGCCUGCCCCCACCCCAUUGCCCCUGGGGAAGAGCUUGGGCCUGGAUGGAAGGGAAAGAAAUAUUCUGCAGCCUGAGGAUGGGAAGGGGAGAGUGGGAGAGAGGGGCUGAGGGUAAAGUCACAUUUACUGAGCACCCAGUUUGUGACAGGCUUUCUGCUGCAUGCAUCACAUCCAUUAUUUCCUUAACCACUCCACUGUCCCUGAGAUGGAGUGGUCUCCCAAUCCCCAUUUCUAGAAGGAACUGAGGCACAAAACCACAUCAUUCUGUGGCUAAGUAAUAGAGCCAUUACUCACUCCGAGCUCCUCUGACUGGUUGUAGUCGAUACGAAUAUACUAUUUACUCUCGAAUGUCAAGAGUCAACUUCCCAUUUCCCCUCCUCCCAUGCAUGGUCUGCUUGGGCCCCAGCAAUAGCAAAAUGUUCCAGAAGCAGAGAUGCAAGCUGGUGGCAGUUCCCAGCUCAGUCUGUCCUCUCCAGCUGGAAUGAGCCCCAGGAGGGCAGGUGGCCCCUGUUUUGCUUCUGCACUGGUGCACAGGGAAUGCAGACUUGCAAACUGAGGCACAGUCCACUUGGCCUCAGUGAGGGCCAGUCAGGCAGGAAUGCAGCACACCUGCCCAGCACAAGGCCCAGCAGCUGCCCAAGGAGAUGGUUCAGCCUCUCUCCCGUACCUGGGAAGAGCACUGAGGUGGGGGUCACCCUGGCAGAAAGAAGCUCCUGCCUCGAUUUCUCCUCAGUCUCUAGACAUGACUGGAAUGGCUUUGUCUAGUCAAGGCCUGCUGUGGAUGUGCCACCUUCCAGCCGAGGGUUAGUCUCCCAGGUCAGGGAAGACAGCGCACUGCAGCCCAUGCGUAUUGGAACUGCUGAUCCAGGCCACUGGACCCAACACUUAGAAUCUCGUUGGGGGGAUCCCUGGGUGGCUCAGUGGUUUGGCGCCUGCCUUUGGCCCAGGGCGCGAUCCUGGAGUCCCGGGAUCGAGCCCCGCGUUGGUCUCCCGGCAGGAAGCCUGCUUCUCCCUCCUCCUGUGUCUCUGCCUCUCUAUGUCUAUCAUAAAUAAAUAAAUAAAUCUUUUUUUUAAAAAAAAAAAA